RNAcentral lists this ribosomal RNA (253 nucleotides) under uncultured bacterium. RNAcentral's name for it is "partial 16S ribosomal RNA". It matches the Rfam family "Bacterial small subunit ribosomal RNA", at positions 524 to 776 of the family's 1533-position model. The record is from RNAcentral.
UACGGAUGGUGCAAGCGUUAUCCGGAUUUACUGGGUUUAAAGGGUGCGUAGGUGGGUUGGUAAGUCAGUGGUGAAAUACUUUCGCUUAACGAAGGAACUGCCAUUGAUACUACCAGUCUUGAAUACAGUGGAGGUAGGCGGAAUGCGUCAUGUAGCGGUGAAAUGCUUAGAUAUGACGCAGCACACCAAUUGCGAAGGCAGCUUGCUACACUGUUAUUGACACUGAGGCACGAAAGCGUGGGGAUCAAACAGG